This 460-nucleotide ribosomal RNA is filed under the name uncultured bacterium. RNAcentral's name for it is "partial 16S ribosomal RNA". It matches the Rfam family "Bacterial small subunit ribosomal RNA", at positions 338 to 795 of the family's 1533-position model. The record is from RNAcentral.
CCUACGGGGUGCUGCAGUGAGGAAUAUUGGUCAAUGGACGAGAGUCUGAACCAGCCAAGUAGCGUGAAGGAUGACUGCCCUAUGUGUUGUAAACUUCUUUUAUAUGGGAAUAAAAUGUUCCACGUGUGGGCUUUUGUAUGUACCAUAUGAAUAAGGAUCGGCUAACUCCGUGCCAGCAGCCGCGGUAAUACGGAGGAUCCGAGCGUUAUCCGGAUUUAUUGGGUUUAAAGGGAGCGUAGGUGGAUUGUUAAGUCAGUUGUGAAAGUUUGCGGCUCAACCGUAAAAUUGCAGUUGAAACUGGCAGUCUUGAGUACAGUAGAGGUGGGCGGAAUUCGUGGUGUAGCGGUGAAAUGCUUAGAUAUCACGAAGAACUCCGAUUGCGAAGGCAGCUCACUGGACUGCAACUGACACUGAGGCUCGAAAGUGUGGGUAUCAAACAGGAUUAGAUACCCGGGUAGUC